CCUUCGGGGUUAGUGGCGCACGGGUGCGUAACGCGUGGGAACCUGCCUUUAGGUUCGGAAUAACAGUUAGAAAUGACUGCUAAUACCGGAUAAUGUCUUCGGACCAAAGAUUUAUUGCCUUUAGAUGGGCCCGCGUUGGAUUAGAUAGUUGGUGGGGUAAUGGCCUACCAAGUCGACGAUCCAUAGCUGGUCUGAGAGGAUGAUCAGCCACACUGGGACUGAGACACGGCCCAGACUCCUACGGGAGGCAGCAGUGGGGAAUAUUGGACAAUGGGCGAAAGCCUGAUCCAGCAAUGCCGCGUGAGUGAUGAAGGCCUUAGGGUUGUAAAGCUCUUUUACCAGGGAUGAUAAUGACAGUACCUGGAGAAUAAGCUCCGGCUAACUCCGUGCCAGCAGCCGCGGUAAUACGGAGGGAGCUAGCGUUGUUCGGAAUUACUGGGCGUAAAGCGCACGUAGGCGGCUUUUCAAGUCAGGGGUGAAAUCCCGGGGCUCAACCCCGGAACUGCCCUUGAAACUGGAUGGCUAGAAUACUGGAGAGGUGAGUGGAAUUCCGAGUGUAGAGGUGAAAUUCGUAGAUAUUCGGA
RNAcentral lists this ribosomal RNA (584 nucleotides) under uncultured bacterium. RNAcentral's name for it is "bacterial SSU rRNA". It matches the Rfam family "Bacterial small subunit ribosomal RNA", at positions 83 to 702 of the family's 1533-position model. The record is from RNAcentral.